This 2588-nucleotide ribosomal RNA is filed under the name Staphylococcus aureus. Its description in RNAcentral is "bacterial LSU rRNA". It matches the Rfam family "Bacterial large subunit ribosomal RNA", at positions 239 to 2830 of the family's 2925-position model. The record is from RNAcentral. Lineage: Bacteria; Bacillati; Bacillota; Bacilli; Caryophanales; Staphylococcaceae.
CGUAGUAGCGGCGAGGGAAACGGGAAGAGCCCAAACCAACAAGCUUGCUUGUUGGGGUUGUAGGACACUCUAUACGGAGUUACAAAGGACGACAUUAGACGAAUCAUCUGGAAAGAUGAAUCAAAGAAGGUAAUAAUCCUGUAGUCGAAAAUGUUGUCUCUCUUGAGUGGAUCCUGAGUACGACGGAGCACGUGAAAUUCCGUCGGAAUCUGGGAGGACCAUCUCCUAAGGCUAAAUACUCUCUAGUGACCGAUAGUGAACCAGUACCGUGAGGGAAAGGUGAAAAGCACCCCGGAAGGGGAGUGAAAUAGAACCUGAAACCGUGUGCUUACAAGUAGUCAGAGCCCGUUAAUGGGUGAUGGCGUGCCUUUUGUAGAAUGAACCGGCGAGUUACGAUUUGAUGCAAGGUUAAGCAGUAAAUGUGGAGCCGUAGCGAAAGCGAGUCUGAAUAGGGCGUUUAGUAUUUGGUCGUAGACCCGAAACCAGGUGAUCUACCCUUGGUCAGGUUGAAGUUCAGGUAACACUGAAUGGAGGACCGAACCGACUUACGUUGAAAAGUGAGCGGAUGAACUGAGGGUAGCGGAGAAAUUCCAAUCGAACCUGGAGAUAGCUGGUUCUCUCCGAAAUAGCUUUAGGGCUAGCCUCAAGUGAUGAUUAUUGGAGGUAGAGCACUGUUUGGACGAGGGGCCCCUCUCGGGUUACCGAAUUCAGACAAACUCCGAAUGCCAAUUAAUUUAACUUGGGAGUCAGAACAUGGGUGAUAAGGUCCGUGUUCGAAAGGGAAACAGCCCAGACCACCAGCUAAGGUCCCAAAAUAUAUGUUAAGUGGAAAAGGAUGUGGCGUUGCCCAGACAACUAGGAUGUUGGCUUAGAAGCAGCCAUCAUUUAAAGAGUGCGUAAUAGCUCACUAGUCGAGUGACACUGCGCCGAAAAUGUACCGGGGCUAAACAUAUUACCGAAGCUGUGGAUUGUCCUUUGGACAAUGGUAGGAGAGCGUUCUAAGGGCGUUGAAGCAUGAUCGUAAGGACAUGUGGAGCGCUUAGAAGUGAGAAUGCCGGUGUGAGUAGCGAAAGACGGGUGAGAAUCCCGUCCACCGAUUGACUAAGGUUUCCAGAGGAAGGCUCGUCCGCUCUGGGUUAGUCGGGUCCUAAGCUGAGGCCGACAGGCGUAGGCGAUGGAUAACAGGUUGAUAUUCCUGUACCACCUAUAAUCGUUUUAAUCGAUGGGGGGACGCAGUAGGAUAGGCGAAGCGUGCGAUUGGAUUGCACGUCUAAGCAGUAAGGCUGAGUAUUAGGCAAAUCCGGUACUCGUUAAGGCUGAGCUGUGAUGGGGAGAAGACAUUGUGUCUUCGAGUCGUUGAUUUCACACUGCCGAGAAAAGCCUCUAGAUAGAAAAUAGGUGCCCGUACCGCAAACCGACACAGGUAGUCAAGAUGAGAAUUCUAAGGUGAGCGAGCGAACUCUCGUUAAGGAACUCGGCAAAAUGACCCCGUAACUUCGGGAGAAGGGGUGCUCUUUAGGGUUAACGCCCAGAAGAGCCGCAGUGAAUAGGCCCAAGCGACUGUUUAUCAAAAACACAGGUCUCUGCUAAACCGUAAGGUGAUGUAUAGGGGCUGACGCCUGCCCGGUGCUGGAAGGUUAAGAGGAGUGGUUAGCUUCUGCGAAGCUACGAAUCGAAGCCCCAGUAAACGGCGGCCGUAACUAUAACGGUCCUAAGGUAGCGAAAUUCCUUGUCGGGUAAGUUCCGACCCGCACGAAAGGCGUAACGAUUUGGGCACUGUCUCAACGAGAGACUCGGUGAAAUCAUAGUACCUGUGAAGAUGCAGGUUACCCGCGACAGGACGGAAAGACCCCGUGGAGCUUUACUGUAGCCUGAUAUUGAAAUUCGGCACAGCUUGUACAGGAUAGGUAGGAGCCUUUGAAACGUGAGCGCUAGCUUACGUGGAGGCGCUGGUGGGAUACUACCCUAGCUGUGUUGGCUUUCUAACCCGCACCACUUAUCGUGGUGGGAGACAGUGUCAGGCGGGCAGUUUGACUGGGGCGGUCGCCUCCUAAAAGGUAACGGAGGCGCUCAAAGGUUCCCUCAGAAUGGUUGGAAAUCAUUCAUAGAGUGUAAAGGCAUAAGGGAGCUUGACUGCGAGACCUACAAGUCGAGCAGGGUCGAAAGACGGACUUAGUGAUCCGGUGGUUCCGCAUGGAAGGGCCAUCGCUCAACGGAUAAAAGCUACCCCGGGGAUAACAGGCUUAUCUCCCCCAAGAGUUCACAUCGACGGGGAGGUUUGGCACCUCGAUGUCGGCUCAUCGCAUCCUGGGGCUGUAGUCGGUCCCAAGGGUUGGGCUGUUCGCCCAUUAAAGCGGUACGCGAGCUGGGUUCAGAACGUCGUGAGACAGUUCGGUCCCUAUCCGUCGUGGGCGUAGGAAAUUUGAGAGGAGCUGUCCUUAGUACGAGAGGACCGGGAUGGACAUACCUCUGGUGUACCAGUUGUCGUGCCAACGGCAUAGCUGGGUAGCUAUGUGUGGACGGGAUAAGUGCUGAAAGCAUCUAAGCAUGAAGCCCCCCUCAAGAUGAGAUUUCCCAACUUCGGUUAU